AUGUGAUCCUUGGAGAUGCCAGGAAGCCCCUUGACACAUGUGGCAUGGGCUCCUUCAGAGGCUUUUGGAUCCGUCGUGAAUGUGGCAUGGGCAUGCAAAGAAAGACAGAGGCUGCAAGGGAUAAACUUCAUCUUGGGAGAUCCCUGGAGAUGGCAGGGAACCCAUGGACACAUGUGGCAUGGGCUCCUUUGGGUGCCGGUGGAUCCCUUCAUACGGUAAAGCCAGAGUUGGGUAUCAACCAGAUACACUGCAGGGGAUCAGAGGACAUGGCCUUUGUGUACUGCACAUCUGUCAGAUUUUCUCAAGCACACCCGUGUUUCCUCUUCACCUCCCACGUGGAAGUGAUGAAUUGGCCAGGACCAUGUUGGUGAGGGACAAUCAUCAUCUCAUGUUAACCUCAGAGAAGCCAGGAAGCUCCUGGACACACAUGGUGUAGGCUUCCUUGGAGGCUGUUGGAUCUCUCCUGAAUGUAGUGUUGGUGUAAAAGGCAAACCCGUGUCAUGAGGGAUGGUCAUCAUCUUGUGUGAUCCUUGGAGAUGGCAGGAAGCCCUGGACAUACAUGGUGUGGGGGCUCCUCCAGAGGCUGUUGGGAUCCUCCUGGAUGUGGUGUGGGCAUGGAAGGAAGGCCAGUGGAGACAAUGGAUGAUCUUGUUCUUAGCAGAUCACUGGAUGUGGCAGGGAGUCCUAGGACAUGUGUGGUGUGGGCUUCUUCAGGUGCUGGUGGUGUUGGCAUGAGGAAAGGAGGUAUCUUCGAGGGACAAUCUUCUUCUUGUGCGAUCCUUGGAGAUGCCAUGAGGCCCCUGGACACAUGUGGUGUGGGCUCCUUUGGAGGCUGUUGUAUCCCUUCUGAAUGUGGCGUGGGCAUAGAAGGAAGGCCAGUGGCCACGAGGGACAAUCUUGGUCUUGGGAGAUCCUGGAAAUGAUAGGGAGUCCCUUGAUAUGUGUGGCAUGGGCUCCUUCAGGUGCUAGUGGAUUCCUUAGGAUGGUGGUGUUGGCAUGAAAGGCAGGCUUGUAUCAUGAGGAAUGAUUGUCAUCUUGUCUGAUUCUUGGAGAUGGCAGGAAGCCCCUGGAAACACAUGGUGUGGACUCUUUCACAGGCUGUUGAAACCCUCCUGAAUGUGAGGCCAGAGACAGGCAGACAGCAGAUGUAUUGCAGGGAGCUGGAUGACAUGGCCCUUGGAACCUGUGCACAUGCCUGCCUUUCUGAUGCACGUCCAUGUUUUCUCUGCACCUCCCCGGUGGUGUUGGUAUAAAAAGCAGGCUUACAUCAGCAAGGGAUGAUUGUCGUCUCAUGCGAUCCUGGGAGAUGGCAGAAGUCCCGGGACACAUGGAGUGUGGGCUCUUUCGGAGGCUGUUGGAUCCCUCCUGAAUGUGUUGUGGCCAUGGAAGUAAGGCCAGUGGCUACGAGGGACAGUCUUCAUCUUGGGAGAUCCCUAGAGAGGGCAGGGAGCCCCUUGACAUGUGGAAUGUGAUCUCUGUUGGGUGCUGGUGGAUCCCACAGGUGGUCUGGCAUGGAAGAAGGCCAGAGGCUGCGAUGGAUCAUCUUUGUCUUGGGAGAUUCCUGGAGAUGGUGGGGAGCCCCUGGGCACGUGCAGCAUAUGUGGCGUGGGCUUCUUCAGGUGCUGGUGGAUCCCUCAGGAUGCUUUUCAAGGUUUUUCUAUGAGUUCUGUUAAAGAGUCUGAAAAUGGAGCGUAGAAGACAUGCUUCGAUUUCCAGGAUGGUUGUGUUUUCCAGAGAGGCGGAGGUAAACCACUGGCGCAGCCCUGCCUCCCACAGAUAAUUCCGGGUGCAGUGUUUCAUAUCUAGACUUGGACUUCUAUCCUACCAUACUUCUUUGUGUGCAGUUCAUUGUGGAACCAGCACAGAUUUUCAUACGAAAGUUAUUUCUUUUUAACCUCAAAAAGUGACAGAAUGGAGUGUAUCAUGAAAAAGUCUGACAUCAAAACCUCAAAAUGUGAUAUUGAUUGGGUGAGAUAGAAUUCCAUGGAAUUUCAUUGCCAAACCAGUGAAGUGCUAAUUUUGACAUUUGUACCAGCUAACGUAGCUGUGAAGAAACACACCAAUACACUUCUAAGGACAGCAUAGACCAAGAUCUAGGUUUCAUAUGGAUGAAUUUAUUCUUCCCUUUGAGGCAAGACAAGAAGGAAAGAAAGUAUUGGGAAUAAUGCUGCCCUCCCAUCCUCAAGGGCCAGUGGGAACUCUAAUAUUGAUUGGGUGAGAUACAAUUCCAUGGAAUUUUACCACUGAACCAGUGGAGGGCUAAUUUUGUCAUUUGUACCAGUUAACUAACUUGGGAGGAAACAGAACAACACACUCCUGAGGGUAAAAUGGAAACUCUGAGAGUUUGGUUGGCGGCAUCUAUAUACCAUAGAAACAGAGCCUGGGAAGCAGAACAGUGAGACCCAAGAGAAAUGUUCCUGCCUAUACUUGAUUGGUUUUCACAGAAUUCCAUGGACUUUAACUGCUGAACCAAUGAUGCACUGAUUUUGUCACUUGUACCAGCUAACGCAUCUGGGAGGCAACAAAACAAUACUCUCCUGAGGUUAAUGUGGACCAAAAACUAGAUUUCAUAUAAAAGAGUUUAUUCCUUCUACUUGAGGUGUGACAUGAAGGAAAGUAAUGGAAAUAAUUCUGCCCUCCCAUUCUCAAGGGCCAGGGGGAAUUCAAAUAUUGAACGGAAGUGAUUUUGGAAUUGCAUGGAAUUCUCACUGCCAUCCCAAAGAAAUGCUGAUCUUGUCACUCUUACCUGUUUCAUUCCCUGGGGGCAGAACAAAAGGACGCACUCCAAAGAUCGGCAUGAACCAAGAACUGGGUUUCAUAUAAAAUAUUUUAUUCUGUCCUCUUGAGAUGUGACAUGAGAAAAGUAUUGAGAAUACUUCUAUCACCUCAUCUUCAAGAAUCCGUAGGAAUUCUCCCAUGGUGGACUUUACGGUUAACCUGAACAGGUCUUGGAAAAAGGACUUUAAACAUUCUCCUGUUCUGUGGAAUAAGUAUACUUUUUUCUGGACAUACACCUUGUCAGUGAGUAUGUAUCAUAAUUCCUCAUAACUUCUUAUCAGGAAACAUUCGAUGUAGAAGAUUUCUUUCUCAACUUCUCUAAUUGCCCCUGUGGUUUGCAGGUUCCAUGUGAUACUAGAGUUGCAUAGAUUUUUAACCUUUACGCCAAUGAAGAUCUGAGGCAAACAUUGCCCCUUUUUUAGAAGUUUGCAUUUGUCACUGAUAACUGUAAUAAUUGAUCUUGUUGAAAAGCCUGGGAAAUGAAGAUCUGAUAUGUCACUUUUACCGGCUUCCUCAACUGAAAAAGAAUACAAUGAAACACGCUGAGAAUUUUUGUGCUUUCUCAGUCUUGCUGAUGAUCUUUCUAUGGGCCUGAAGCGUGGAGAGUGCCAGAGAGGCUGAUCCUCAGCAGUGUGGCAGAGGAAAGUUGGGUGCGACUAAGGGGUAUGCGGUGCCCACAUGCCACUGGGUCCUCAGCAGUACCACCUGGUCAACAAAGACAAGGCACCUAGCCCCACAUGAAACUUUAUUCCUUUCCCUUUUGAGAUGUGACAUGAAAGAAAAUAACAGAAAUGAUUUUUCCAUCCCAUCCUCAGGGACCAGUGGGAAUGAAUUUUACCAUCCCACCCUCAAGGGCCAGAUUGGAAGUGAUAUUGGUGGAAGACAACAUUUUGCCGCUUGGAAUUCUCACCUCCACACCAAAGAAGUACUGUUUUUGUCAUUUGCACCAGCUUCUUUCUCCAGGAAAGAUCAAAACGAUGCACUGCAAGUGUGAUUGGUCCAGAUAGCUGCCUUAUCCAACUGCCUCCUUUGGACCACUUCAUCAUGGGACAGCUUGAUGCAAUCUACUUGACAAGACCCUGGAACCCCACACCCCUCAUGGAACCAGUGUCCACCUCCCAGUCACAGUGUGACCCCAGGGAACUCUUGCCUGCUUGCUUUAAACCCACCACUUAAAAGUCUCCACAGAAAACCUGUUUGAAUAGUACCCUUGACCCAAUAAGGGCAUUGGCCCCUGGGUGUCUCUCUCUCUCUCUCUCUCUCUCUCUCCCUCUCUCUCCCUCUCUCUCUCUCGCUCCCUGACCUCUGCGUGUGGACUCCAGGCAUGCCAUAUACCCCUCAGGACCUGAAGCAAAAGAAUGAAUUAAAGAAAACUCCAGAGAAUGAGCUGACAACCUACUCCCUGGUCAGUGGCUCUCCAUGCCUACCUGUGGUCUCUUGGACACCCUUGCAGAAGAUGACUUCCUGGGAACUCUUCUGGGAGUGAAUGUUAUCAGCAAAUUCCCAAAACAACACCCCUUAGACAAAAAGCCUCCUCACCUAUGCAUUGCCUAGACCACCCACUAAAGGUGAUGGCCACAAAGAGGUGGAUUUGUUGAGUUGGUGCCAUUCCUUCUACUGCCAGCUUCACCAAAACAAUGACACAGUCUUCCUUCCGCAUGGAGACUCUUCUCUUUCCUGUGUUGCAGUGGAUGCCUCCUGCAGAUAAGAAAUGCUUAACUGAGAAAUGCUCAUGUUGGGAUAUCAUCGAUGAGACUUUAAUUUGGGCAUGGUGACUGUUUCCCUUGCUGCCACUUGACUCAAUCCCAGGAGCCUCAGUAGAGGAUAUAAUAUUACACAAGAUGCUCAAAAUGGUGGAAUUGCUCAGUGCUCCCAUAAAUAUACAUUUAUAAUUUUCAUUUGCCACAUGGUAAACUGAAAAAUACAGACUAUAUUAAAAAGAAACUGCAUGAUUUUUUUUCAAAAAUUCAAAGCAUAUUUAAAUAAUAUAUAAAUUAAAUGCCCUCCUCUCUUCCAAUUCUGUCCCUAUAGUUUUCCUCUAUUAAGUGAACUACAUGCAUUCUUUUAGUGGAUAGAUGCACACAAACACACAAGCCAUUAUGGGGAAGGAUCCACGUGUGUGGCCAUAUUGUAACACAUUUUUCUGCAAAUCACCUCUUUCAUUUAACAGCCCUUAUUCAAUGGCCUUUUUCUUUUUCAGUAGUACAUACACAUCUGUGUCAUUUGUUGAAUGACGACAUGAAUGUUUUGUAGAUAAAAUAUAAUUAAAUGUUUUAAGCAUUUCUCACUCAUAGAUAUUUAUGUUAGCACCAAAUUUCUGUGCAAUGAACCUCCCUAUAUAUCAGUAAUUUUGCAUUUGUCUAUAAUAUCAUAAUAAAUUACUUAUCAGUUGAAUUACUGGGAUUAAGUAUGUGCACACUUUAUAUUUAUAUUUUGAAAAUUAUUGCAAGAUUGCCUUCAAAAAUGUGGUUAACAACUUUAUCUUCAAAUGGCAAUGAAUGAGAUUGCCAGCUUUCCUACAGCCUCACAGACAAUGGAUUUUAUAAAUAUUUAACAUUUUUGCCAAUGUGAUCACCCAAACUAUUGUCUUAAAUUGUAUCUCUUUUGUUUUUGAGUUUGGUCAUUUUUUCAUGUUUAUUAGCCAUCUGUAUUUUUUAAUUUCUUCUUUAUGUCCAAUUUUGUGGGUGGGAGGAGGAUUUAGUCUCUUCCUGAUUUCGAAGAGCUCAUUUACUAUUUCGGGAAAUAAGAUUUGGAUUGUCAACCAUUAUAGCUAUUUUUUACACACUUUUCAACUUUGUUUUUGUUAUAAGAAUGUGUAUGAUUGUUACAUGUCCAAGUAUAACCAUGUUCGCUUUUAUGGCUUCUGAGUUUCAUGUCAUUUUUGGAAAGAUAUAUAUAUUGAGUCCAUAAAACCCUUCACCUAUGUUAAAUUCUAAUUCUUUUGUGUUUUUUUAAUUCAAAUUCUUAAAUCAUGAGAAAUUUUUUUGUUUUGAAAUCUUAAAGUUGCCAAGUUACUUGCCAUUACUUGCGAUUAUUUGCCAAUAAUUGCCCAUUUAUCUGUACCGCCAUCUUGCGCAUAUGCUGUACUCUCAUCUGUGACUGGCUCCAUUUUUGUUCUGUGGAUUUGUGUGUCUCUUCUUCUGCCUCCUGUCUCGUGUCUGCUCGUUGGAAGAAAUUACAGUUUAGACUGCAAUUUCAUCAACUUUAAUAAAUCAAUUGAGGGGAGAAUUGGUUUUUAAAAAUAUUAAGUAAGUCUUCGUAUCCAAGGACAAGGUAUGUCUUUUCUUAUUCAAUAAUUUUAAUUACUGUUAAUAUUUUCACUGUGGUGAUGGGAGUUUUUCUUUUAAUUUAUUUUCUUGUUCAUUUUUUGUAUCUAAAGUUUUUGUUUUGUUUUGUUUUGGGGGUAAGUUGUCACCUUACUGUUUCUUGUUGCUUUUCAGAUUUUUUCAAAGUAUAGACUAAAUCCUUCACAAAUAUUUAAAGUUUUUAUUUUCCCCCUUCAUAUUGAUCCUGAUUUUAGUUAUGUUGACAAAGUCCACAGACUGUUACUAUCAGAACACUUGAACAGUUAUGGAAAUAUUACCUACCCUUGAUUUAAUCAGAGUUUAAUGGUAUGCUUCUUUGGUUUGACUGGCACAUUGUCGCUGGUCAUUUCCUCCCAAAGACCACCAGAAAGAGCUAUGAUCAAGCAAAGCUGAGUUUGUUAAACUUACCUGCAGCAAGGGAAAACACCACCUUGAUAGGGUUUAAUAAUGUUUCAAAAUCAAGAAAUGAGGCUUUGGGGUCUGGGCAGGGAACUAAUUAGAAAUGGGCAAAAUUUGUCAUGCAAUACCUUGUGGGAAAGUGAGAUGAGGUUCUUAAUGUGAGUAUUGAUGGUGAAAUCAUUUUCUAGGUGAGCUGUUUGCCUAUAUAAAGAUGUUAUCAAUGACAGAAGAACUAUUUGCCUAGAUAAACAAACUGAAUUUAUUUAUUGGUUUACAGUUUUAUCUUGCUGGGCAGGACUCUGCUGGGGGUGGUAUCAGGUCUUAUUCCCAAUAGGUAAGUUAUUUGGAUAUGGGUGGUCUUAAUCAUCAAUGUGUAAAAUGCUGAUUUUAAGUGCGAAAUACUUUGUCUACCAUGUUAGGAAAGUCUGCCACCUUUUAUCUUUUUUAAGGAAUUUUAAUCAAAACCAGGUGGUAGAUAUAAUCAAAUUGUUUUGCAGAAUCAAUUUUCCUGUUCUCUUUAAAGACUUUUAUCACUGUGAAUUAAUUUACUAUUAUUGCAACUUCCUUUAAUUCCUUGAAUGAACAGACCCUACUGGUUUUAAAAAUGUUUUAUUCUUUUAAUUUACUACUUAAUUGUGGGUAUUUUAAUUUGAUUUGGAAUUUUUACAAGUAUACAACUAAGUGAAAUUGAUCUGUGAUUUUUCUUUUUUGUGCUAUUUUUGUCAUGUUUUGAUAUCAGAUAUUCUGGUUGUGUUAAAAUAAUUUUGAGGAUUUUCUUCUUAUACUGUGUUCUAGAGUGGGUAAAAAAGCCCUAGUCUCACUAUCAGUGUUUAAGUGAACACAUCAGUGACAUCAUCUGGACUCUCCUUUGUUUUUGCUGGUUUGGAGUUAGGACAUCUAGAAGUUUUUUUCUUUUUUUCCUUUUUUUGUAUGGUUAUUGCUUGUUCUUUGUUUUGUGUCAAAUUUAACCUGUUUUCUCUUAGCAAAUCACAGCUCAUGCAGAUUUUCAAACACAUUAGCCUUGUUAUACAAAGUGUUCUUUCAUCAUUCUAUUAAAUUUCCAUUUUCAUUCCAGUUAUAGUUAUUUCUGCUGUGCCUUUGUUAAUGAAUAAGUUUAAACAGUGGAUGUUUAGCAUCACUAGCCUUCCCCUUCCAUCUCCCUUAAUCAGGACCUUGGUAUAAUUUAUCAGGUAUUUUUUAAGGUUCUAAUUUACUUAUAUAUAUUGUUUCUGUAUUCUUUUGUUUCUUUUCUUAAUAAAUUCUUAAA
This 7749-nucleotide long non-coding RNA is filed under the name Homo sapiens (human). Its description in RNAcentral is "small nucleolar RNA host gene 14". Lineage: Eukaryota; Metazoa; Chordata; Mammalia; Primates; Hominidae. The record is from RNAcentral.